CGGGGUGCAGCAGGCGCGAAAACUUUACAAUGCGGGAAACCGUGAUAAGGGGACACCGAGUGCCAGCAUCAUAUGCUGGCUGUCCAGGUGUGUAAAAUACACCUGUCAGCAAGGGCCGGGCAAGACCGGUGCCAGCCGCCGCGGUAACACCGGCGGCCCGAGUGGUGAUCGUGAUUAUUGGGUCUAAAGGGUCCGUAGCCGGUUUGGUCAGUCCUCCGGGAAAUCUGACGGCUCAACCGUUAGGCUUUCGGGGGAUACUGCCAGGCUUGGAACCGGGAGAGGUAAGAGGUACUACAGGGGUAGGAGUGAAAUCUUGUAAUCCCUGUGAGACCACCUGUGGCGAAGGCGUCUUACCAGAACGGGUUCGACGGUGAGGGACGAAAGCUGGGGGCACGAACCGGAUUAGAUACCCGGGUAGUCCCAGCCGUAAACGAUGCUCGCUAGGUGUCAGGCAUGGCGCGACCGUGUCUGGUGCCGCAGGGAAGCCGUGAAGCGAGCCACCUGGGAAGUACGGCCGCAAGGCUGAAACUUAAAGGAAUUGGCGGGGGAGCA
This 552-nucleotide ribosomal RNA is filed under the name uncultured archaeon. RNAcentral's name for it is "bacterial SSU rRNA". It matches the Rfam family "Archaeal small subunit ribosomal RNA", at positions 326 to 878 of the family's 1478-position model. The record is from RNAcentral.